GUUAGGGUGGCCGAGCGGUCUAAGGCGCCAGACUCAAGAAGGGUCUUCUUGGUGUUCCGGUCCACGAACGUAGGCGUGGGUUCGAAUCCCACCUCUGACA
This 100-nucleotide transfer RNA is filed under the name Fasciola gigantica. It matches the Rfam family "tRNA". From Rfam's summary of the family: Transfer RNA (tRNA) molecules are approximately 80 nucleotides in length. Their secondary structure includes four short double-helical elements and three loops (D, anti-codon, and T loops). Further hydrogen bonds mediate the characteristic L-shaped molecular structure. tRNAs have two regions of fundamental functional importance: the anti-codon, which is responsible for specific mRNA codon recognition, and the 3' end, to which the tRNAs corresponding amino acid is attached (by aminoacyl-tRNA synthetases). tRNAs cope with the degeneracy of the genetic code in two manners: having more than one tRNA (with a specific anti-codon) for a particular amino acid; and 'wobble' base-pairing, i.e. permitting non-standard base-pairing at the 3rd anti-codon position. The record is from Rfam by way of RNAcentral. Lineage: Eukaryota; Metazoa; Platyhelminthes; Trematoda; Plagiorchiida; Fasciolidae.